This 481-nucleotide ribosomal RNA is filed under the name uncultured bacterium. Its description in RNAcentral is "partial 16S ribosomal RNA". It matches the Rfam family "Bacterial small subunit ribosomal RNA", at positions 28 to 507 of the family's 1533-position model. The record is from RNAcentral.
GAUGAACGCUGGCGGCGUGCUUAACACAUGCAAGUCGAACGAAGCAUUUGCGACAGAUUUUUUCGGAAUGAAGUUGCUUAUGACUGAGUGGCGGACGGGUGAGUAACGCGUGGGUAACCUGCCUUGUACUGGGGGAUAGCAGCUGGAAACGGCUGGUAAUACCGCAUAAGCGCACAAUGUUGCAUGACAUGGUGUGAAAAACUCCGGUGGUAUAAGAUGGACCCGCGUCUGAUUAGCUAGUUGGUGAGAUAACAGCCCACCAAGGCGACGAUCAGUAGCCGACCUGAGAGAGUGACCGGCCACAUUGGGACUGAGACACGGCCCAGACUCCUACGGGAGGCAGCAGUGGGGAAUAUUGCAAAAUGGAGGAAACUAUGAUGCAGCGACGCCGCGUGAGUGAAGAAGUAAUUCGUUAUGUAAAGCUCUAUCAGCAGGGAAGAUAGUGACGGUACCUGACUAAGAAGCUCCGGCUAAAUACGUG